Molecule: ribosomal RNA, 500 nt
Filed under: uncultured bacterium
Lineage: Bacteria
Description: partial 16S ribosomal RNA
Rfam family: Bacterial small subunit ribosomal RNA
Source: RNAcentral
AUUGAACGCUGGCGGCAGGCCUAACACAUGCAAGUCGAGCGGAUGAAGGAAGCUUGCUUCCCGAUUCAGCGGCGGACGGGUGAGUAAUGCCUAGGAAUCUGCCUAUUAGUGGGGGAUAACUCGGGGAAACUCGGGCUAAUACCGCAUACGUCCUACGGGAGAAAGUGGGGGAUCUUCGGACCUCACGCUAAUAGAUGAGCCUAGGUCGGAUUAGCUAGUUGGGGAGGUAACGGCUCACCAAGGCGACGAUCCGUAGCUGGUCUGAGAGGAUGAUCAGCCACACUGGAACUGAGACACGGUCCAGACUCCUACGGGAGGCAGCAGUGGGGAAUAUUGGACAAUGGGCGAAAGCCUGAUCCAGCCAUGCCGCGUGUGUGAAGAAGGUCUUCGGAUUGUAAAGCACUUUAAGUUGGGAGGAAGGUCUGUAAGCUAAUAUCUUGCAGUCUUGACGUUACCAACAGAAUAAGCACCGGCUAACUCUGUGCCAGCCGCCGCGGUAA